AUUGAACGCUGGCGGCAGGCCUAACACAUGCCAGUCGAGCGGAUGAAGGGAGCUUGCUCCUGGAUUCAGCGGCGGACAGGUGAGUAAUGCCUAGGAAUCUGCCUGGUAGUGGGGGAUAACGUCCGGAAACGGGCGCUAAUACCGCAUACGUCCUGAGGGAGAAAGUGGGGGAUCUUCGGACCUCACGCUAUCAGAUGAGCCUAGGUCGGAUUAGCUAGUUGGUGGGGUAAAGGCCUACCAAGGCGACGAUCCGUAACUGGUCUGAGAGGAUGAUCAGUCACACUGGAACUGAGACACGGUCCAGACUCCUACGGGAGGCAGCAGUGGGGAAUAUUGGACAAUGGGCGAAAGCCUGAUCCAGCCAUGCCGCGUGUGUGAAGAAGGUCUUCGGAUUGUAAAGCACUUUAAGUUGGGAGGAAGGGCAGUAAGUUAAUACCUUGCUGUUUUGACGUUACCAACAGAAUAAGCACCGGCUAACUUCGUG
RNAcentral lists this ribosomal RNA (484 nucleotides) under uncultured bacterium. Its description in RNAcentral is "partial 16S ribosomal RNA". It matches the Rfam family "Bacterial small subunit ribosomal RNA", at positions 30 to 507 of the family's 1533-position model. The record is from RNAcentral.